Molecule: transfer RNA, 66 nt
Filed under: Scymninae sp. 4 ACP-2013
Lineage: Eukaryota; Metazoa; Arthropoda; Insecta; Coleoptera; Coccinellidae
Description: tRNA-Ser
Source: RNAcentral
UAAUCAAUGAACUUGAAUAAGUAUAUAUUUUGAAAAUAUAAAAAAGAAAUUAUAAUUCUAUUGAUU